Molecule: ribosomal RNA, 550 nt
Filed under: uncultured bacterium
Lineage: Bacteria
Description: bacterial SSU rRNA
Rfam family: Bacterial small subunit ribosomal RNA
Source: RNAcentral
GAUGAACGCUGGCGGCGUGCUUAAUACAUGCAAGUCGAGCGAUCGGACUCGGGGUGGCAACACCCCGGGUUACGGAGCGGCGAACGGGUGAGUAACACGUGAGGAACCUGCCUCGGAGACGGGGAUAACGUUGGGAAACCAACGCUAAUACCCGAUGACCCGAUAGAGGGACGUCCCUCAGUCGGCAAAAGGUUGGGCAACCUUCUGCUCCGAGAGGGCCUCGCGGCCUAUCAGCUUGUUGGCGGGGUAACGGCCCACCAAGGCGAUGACGGGUAGCUGGCGUGAGAGCGCGACCAGCCACACCGGGACUGAGACACGGCCCGGACUCCUACGGGAGGCAGCAGUAGGGAAUCUUGGACAAUGGGCGAAAGCCUGAUCCAGCGACGCCGCGUGGGGGACGAAGGCCCUCGGGUUGUAAACCCCUGUUGUUGGGAAAGAAGCCGGCUUCGUGCCGGUGACGGUACCCAACGAGGAAGCCCCGGCUAACUACGUGCCAGCAACCGCGGUAAGACGUAGGGGGCGAGCGUUAUCCGGAUUCACUGGCGGUAAA